This 768-nucleotide ribosomal RNA is filed under the name Triticum aestivum (bread wheat). RNAcentral describes it as "partial small subunit ribosomal RNA". The record is from RNAcentral. Lineage: Eukaryota; Viridiplantae; Streptophyta; Magnoliopsida; Poales; Poaceae.
AUGGCCUCGCGGCUCCGGCUCGGCCAGCCCAGCCCGAACCCCGGACCCGGCCCCAGCCCCGGCGAGGGGAAGAGAGAAGAAGGAGAAGCGAGGAAGCCGGAGCCGCGGCGAGAGGUGACGGACCUGGGCGGCGGGAGCGAGGUGGUGCACAUCCCGCGGUUCAUGGCGCGGGAGAGGGCGUGGGAGCUGUUCGAACACCUCAACAAGCGCAUCCCGUGGACGCGCCCCACCAUCCGCGUCUUCGGCCGCUCCGUUGUCCAGCCCAGAGAUACCUGCUAUGUGGCAGAUGAAGGGCUAACAGAUUUGAGGUACAGCGGCCAUCAGCCUCAUCCGCAUUCUUGGCAUGAAUUCCCAGUGCUAAAGGAUAUCUUGAAAGAGGUCCAUGAAGCCCUCCCAGGAAGCCACUUUAACAGCCUGCUGCUGAACAGAUACAAGGGAGGUUCAGACUACGUGUCAUGGCACGCCGAUGACGAACCCCUCUACGGACCUACCCCGGAGAUCGCGUCCGUUACAUUCGGGUGCGAACGUGAGUUCUUGCUGAGGAAGAAGCCUGCCAAUACAAAAUCACAAGCUGCUGGUGAAUCUGGGGAAACGGCUCCGAAGCGGCUCAAGGUCAGCGCCCCUCAGCAGCAUUCGUUCCUCCUGAAGCAUGGCUCGUUGCUCGUGAUGAGGGGCUACACCCAGCGGGACUGGCAGCACGCGGUGCCCAAGCGUGCGAGGGCGGCCUCGACGAGGAUCAACCUAACUUUCCGGCAUGUGUUGCCAUGA